GAUGAACGCUGGCGGCGUGCUUAACACAUGCAAGUCGAACGGAAAGGCCCAAGCUUGCUUGGGUACUCGAGUGGCGAACGGGUGAGUAACACGUGGGUGAUCUGCCCUGCACUUCGGGAUAAGCCUGGGAAACUGGGUCUAAUACCGGAUAGGACCACUUCUUGGAUGUUGUGGUGGAAAGUUUUUUCGGUGUGGGAUGAGCUCGCGGCCUAUCAGCUUGUUGGUGGGGUAAUGGCCUACCAAGGCGUCGACGGGUAGCCGGCCUGAGAGGGUGUACGGCGACAUUGGGACUGAGAUACGGCCCAGACUCCUACGGGAGGCAGCAGUGGGGAAUAUUGCACAAUGGGCGCCAGCCUGAUGCAGCGACGCCGCGUGGGGGAUGACGGCCUUCGGGUUGUAAACUCCUUUCGCUAGGGACGAAGCGUUUUGUGACGGUACCUGGAGAAGAAGCACCGGCUAACUACGUG
Molecule: ribosomal RNA, 467 nt
Filed under: uncultured bacterium
Lineage: Bacteria
Description: partial 16S ribosomal RNA
Rfam family: Bacterial small subunit ribosomal RNA
Source: RNAcentral